UCCGCGGGGAACGGGAGCGGGAGCGGCACCGCCCCGGGGCGGCCGCAGCCAAGGGAACCAAUGGAGCCUGGUGCGCGCCGGGAGAGGCACCCGCGGGAUGAAUCAAGCACCGCUGCAAAAUGGCACCUCCGCGCCCUUCGGGGGUGCCAGGACAGGCAGGGCAGCGACCGGCAGCCCCAGGGGGCACGGCAGGGAGCGGAUCUCCCCGAUCCCUCCGUCUGACGUGGCCCGUGCACCAGGAGUGCUCUCCAAGCAUGUGUGAACGGUCUUUGCCAGAGACAGCAAAAAUGGACUCUUGAUCUGACUCAGUACAGCAAGGAUUUACACCGUGGGGCUGACCACCAUCCUGACAUUCAGGGUGCCAGGACACCUCUCCUUGUGCACAGCCUGCCUGUGCAGUCAGAGCGCAGCCCUCCCUCCCCUGCCACAGGCUGCAGCACCGCAACUGCUCUCCGUUCUGCAGCAAAGGUGCAUAAAUACUCCUUUUUCUGCACCUCCUUACAAAUAUAACACUCCAUGGCUACAGGAGAUCAAGAAAACUGAGGUGAGGAGUAAGAGAUGGCAAAAACUGACCACUUCAUCUACGGUUGUGUUCUGGAUGAGAAAGUGCAGUCCUGCCCUCUUCCCAAGGCUCCUGCCUUGUCCUGAGCCAGCUGAAGCCACAGGGCUCUUCCCUGCAGACCCCAAUGCAAGAUGCCCCCAUGACCCCAGAUGCCUCUGUAAAAAUAACCAACUGUUCCAGCCCUUUCCUUAAAGACAGACUACCAGUCUGCUUGCAAGAGGCAGGAUAUAACUGCUUGACAAAAGUGGAGCUGCUACCAAGCUGUGUGACACCAAGGCAGGAGAUGCCAAUCAAACACCAUGAUAAAAGCUACCCAGAAAGCUAAAAAAUGAGCUCUUUUCACUCCUAACUCUGACUGUGGCGAGGAAAGUAGUUCCCCGUGACCAUGAGUUCAAGCUGAGGUAUCAGCCUCAGCAAUUGUCUCCUUGCUUUGUAGCAGCUCGUUACCACAACCCCAUUCUUCCACUGGGAAAACAAACUGCAUUAACAGGGGGCCAACUCCAGCCAAACUUGCAAAGUACAGAAAGGGACCAAGAACUGGUAGAGCACAGAAGAUACCACCUCCCUGCCUCAGGGGGCUGGCUGUUUCCCAGGCAAAGAGUUCCAGAUUCGUGAACAAGAAGAGAAGCAUCAUUAAACACUGGAAUUUGUCUCCAGUAAAUCCUUCAAAGACUGUCCUUUGCAAUUUUGCUUUCCAUCCUUUCCAUCCACCCUUCCAUCCUCCAUAGUUUUGGUUUUGGUCCAUCCUAUCUUCCUCCCCUCCUGCAGGAGCCUGGGCCAUGAAGGUGAUAAGUUAAACAGUGAGUUAAAGCAAUUAAAGAAUACGCCUGUGCCAGGUACUCUUCUCCCUGGGAAAGGCAGAAGCAGAGAGACUGGGAGGACUACUCACAUAGUUUAAGUUAACUAUUAUACCAUUAUACAUCACUAAAUCAGGGCUAGAGAGAUCUGUUCUGCAGCUGUGAGACCUUUGGGAAGAGGAAUUGAAACAAGGAGCUCUGCCUAAGGGAGGAACCCUCACACUGGUCAGCAGAGAGCCUGUUCCUCAACAGCUCCUCCAUCCUGCUCCCACUGAGUCAAGCAUUUUCUAUUUCAGCUAACAGCAUUGUGUUUCCUUCCCAUCCCUUGGUAUGUGGUGUGUCUCCUUGCUGGCCUGCAGAGAGCUGUGCUGCUGUGACCAAGGCAUGACUGACUUUCACUGCAGUGAGGGGUCACUCCAGCAGAAGCUUCUUUACUCGUGACAUGUCAAGGCAGACUGUAUUCCAAAAAGACCUUAAAAGUAAUUUAUAAAUGCCAUGUGCUCUAUAGCAGUGGUAAGAAUCAAAAUGUAACACAAAUUGGCAGCU
Molecule: long non-coding RNA, 1905 nt
Organism: Chiroxiphia lanceolata (lance-tailed manakin)
Lineage: Eukaryota; Metazoa; Chordata; Aves; Passeriformes; Pipridae
Exons: 4
Source: RefSeq, a predicted model, not a curated record